UCACUGGGUAUGUGACUGCCAU
This 22-nucleotide microRNA is filed under the name Heliconius melpomene (postman butterfly). RNAcentral describes it as "Hme-Mir-3-P26_3p (mature (guide))". Lineage: Eukaryota; Metazoa; Arthropoda; Insecta; Lepidoptera; Nymphalidae. The record is from RNAcentral.